Molecule: ribosomal RNA, 482 nt
Filed under: uncultured bacterium
Lineage: Bacteria
Description: partial 16S ribosomal RNA
Rfam family: Bacterial small subunit ribosomal RNA
Source: RNAcentral
AUUGAACGCUGGCGGCAUGCUUUACACAUGCAAGCCGAACGGUAACAGGCCGCAAGGUGCUGACGAGUGGCGAACGGGUGAGUAAUGCAUCGGAACGUGCCCAGUCGUGGGGGAUAACUACUCGAAAGAGUAGCUAAUACCACAUACGAUCUAUGGAUGAAAGCGGGGGACCGUAAGGCCUCGCGCGAUUGGAGCGGCCGAUGUCAGAUUAGGUAGUUGGUGGGGUAAAGGCUCACCAAGCCAACGAUCUGUAGCUGGCCUGAGAGGACGACCAGCCACACUGGGACUGAGACACGGCCCAGACUCCUACGGGAGGCAGCAGUGGGGAAUUUUGGACAAUGGGCGCAAGCCUGAUCCAGCAAUGCCGCGUGCAGGAAGAAGGCCUUCGGGUUGUAAACUGCUUUUGUACGGAAAGAAACGGCUCUGGUUAAUACCCGGGGCUAAUGACGGUACCGUAAGAAUAAGCACCGGCUAACUACGUG